CAGCAGGACCCGGCGGUGACCGGAGGCUCCGAGGGACAGAGGGGCCCCCCCCCACCGAGCGCGGAGCUGGAGGCGCUGCGGGAGCGGAUUGACCGGCUCGAGGAUGAUUACGCCAAUUCCCAGCGGCUCAAUCGCCUCCUGGAGGAGCGGGUGCAGGGGCUGACGCAGGCGCUGGUGCUGGAGCGGACGGUGCUGAGCCAACGGGUGGCUGAGGCUCUGCAGAGGGUGCUGGGCCCCCCCCCCGGUGCUGAGCCCCACAAC
Long non-coding RNA from Melopsittacus undulatus (budgerigar), 261 nucleotides. RefSeq lists it as uncharacterized. The transcript is spliced from 4 exons. NCBI's taxonomy places the organism in Eukaryota, Metazoa, Chordata, Aves, Psittaciformes, Psittaculidae. The record is from RefSeq and is a predicted model, not a curated record.